UUGUUGGUAGGGUAAUGGCCUACCAAGACAAUGAUCAAUAGCUGAUUUGAGAGGAUGAUCAGCCACAUUGGGACUGAGACACGGCCCAAACUCCUACGGGAGGCAGCAGUAGGGAAUCUUGCACAAUGGGGGAAACCCUGAUGCAGCGAUGCCGCGUGAGUGAAGAAGGCCUUUGGGUUGUAAAGCUCUUUCGUCGGGGAAGAAAAUGACUGUACCCGAAUAAGAAGGUCCGGCUAACUUCGUGCCAGCAGCCGCGGUAAUACGAAGGGACCUAGCGUAGUUCGGAAUUACUGGGCUUAAAGAGUUCGUAGGUGGUUAAAAAAGUUGGUGGUGAAAUCCCAGAGCUUAACUCUGGAACUGCCAUCAAAACUUUUUAGCUAGAGUAUGAUAGAGGAAAGCAGAAUUUCUAGUGUAGAGGUGAAAUUCGUAGAUAUUAGAAAGAAUACCGAUUGCGAAGGCAGCUUUCUGGAUCAUUACUGACACUGAGGAACGAAAGCAUGGGUAGCGAAGAGGAUUAGAUACCCUCGUAGUCCAUGCCGUAAACGAUGUGUGUUAGACGUUGGAAAUUUAUUUUCUGUGUCGCAGCGAAAGCAAUAAACACACCGCCUGGGGAGUACGACCGCAAGGUUAAAACUCAAAUGAAUUGACGGGGACCCGCACAAGUAGUGGAGCAUGUGGUUUAAUUCGAAGAUACGCGCAGAACCUUACCAACACUUGACAUGUUCGUCGCGACUUUAAGAGAUUAAAGUUUUCGGUUCGGCCGGACGAAACACAGGUGCUGCAUGGCUGUCGUCAGCUCGUGUCGUGAGAUGUUGGGUUAAGUCCCGCAACGAGCGCAACCCUCACUUUUAGUUGCCAUCAUUUAGUUGGGCACUCUGAAAGAACUGCCAGUGAUAAGCUGGGAGGAAGG
Molecule: ribosomal RNA, 910 nt
Filed under: marine metagenome
Description: bacterial SSU rRNA
Rfam family: Bacterial small subunit ribosomal RNA
Source: RNAcentral